Molecule: long non-coding RNA, 515 nt
Organism: Heterocephalus glaber (naked mole-rat)
Lineage: Eukaryota; Metazoa; Chordata; Mammalia; Rodentia; Bathyergidae
Source: RefSeq, a predicted model, not a curated record
GGCGUACGUCUGCACGCUGGCACGCAGAUCCCAGCGCAUGCGCAGCGGAAACUGGACAGCCUCUGGAAAUCUUUGAAUGUUUAGGGUCAAGUGUAAGGUAUUUCUAACUUCAGUAAGAGUUUGGCCUUGCCAAGAAAGGCAUUCACAGGAAUAGUUAACAAAGCAGACCCAUUUCAGUAAUGAUACUUAGCCAUUGGAGUGGCUGUUAUAAAAAAUGUGGAAAAUAUCGGUGAAGAUGAGAAGAAAAUGAAGCUCUUGUGCAUUGCUGAAGGGAACAUCAAAUAUGACAGCAGUGGAAAGAGUUCCGUGGUUCUACAGAAAGUAAAACAUGGAAAUAUCAUAUGAUCGAGCAAUUCUGCCUCUGAAUAUAUCCCCAAAGAAAUGAAAAAGGGACUCAAACAGAUCAUAGCAGUGUUAUUCACAAUAGCCAAAAGAUAGAAAGAAACCAGAUGUCCAUCUACAGAUGAAUGAAACAGAUAUAACAUGAAAUAUACAUAUAUAUAUAUAUAUAUAUG